GUGGGGAAUAUUGGACAAUGGGGGGAACCCUGAUCCAGCCAUGCCGCGUGUGUGAAGAAGGCCUUUUGGUUGUAAAGCACUUUAAGCGAGGAGGAGGCUACCGAGAUUAAUACUCUUGGAUAGUGGACGUUACUCGCAGAAUAAGCACCGGCUAACUCUGUGCCAGCAGCCGCGGUAAUACAGAGGGUGCAAGCGUUAAUCGGAUUUACUGGGAGUAAAGCGCGCGUAGGUGGCCAAUUAAGUCAAAUGUGAAAUCCCCGAGCUUAACUUGGGAAUUGCAUUCGAUACUGGUUGGCUAGAGUAUGGGAGAGGAUGGUAGAAUUCCAGGUGUAGCGGUGAAAUGCGUAGAGAUCUGGAGGAAUACCGAUGGCGAAGGCAGCCAUCUGGCCUAAUACUGACACUGAGGUGCGAAAGCAUGGGGAGCAAACAGGAUUAGAAACCCGUGUAGUCC
This 451-nucleotide ribosomal RNA is filed under the name uncultured bacterium. RNAcentral's name for it is "partial 16S ribosomal RNA". It matches the Rfam family "Bacterial small subunit ribosomal RNA", at positions 354 to 796 of the family's 1533-position model. The record is from RNAcentral.